This 596-nucleotide ribosomal RNA is filed under the name actinobacterium KV-535. RNAcentral's name for it is "bacterial SSU rRNA". It matches the Rfam family "Bacterial small subunit ribosomal RNA", at positions 194 to 812 of the family's 1533-position model. Lineage: Bacteria; Bacillati; Actinomycetota; Actinomycetes. The record is from RNAcentral.
UGGUGUUGGAAAGCUUUUGCGGUUUUGGAUGGACUCGCGGCCUAUCAGCUUGUUGGUGGGGUAAUGGCCUACCAAGGCGACGACGGGUAGCCGGCCUGAGAGGGUGACCGGCCACACUGGGACUGAGACACGGCCCAGACUCCUACGGGAGGCAGCAGUGGGGAAUAUUGCACAAUGGGCGGAAGCCUGAUGCAGCGACGCCGCGUGAGGGAUGACGGCCUUCGGGUUGUAAACCUCUUUCAUAGGAAGAAGCGAAAGUGACGGUACCUGCAGAAGAAGCGCCGGCUAACUACGUGCCAGCAGCCGCGGUAAUACGUAGGGCGCAAGCGUUAUCCGGAAUUAUUGGGCGUAAAGAGCUCGUAGGCGGUUUGUCGCGUCUGCUGUGAAAGACCGGGGCUCAACUCCGGUUCUGCAGUGGUACGGCCAGACUAGAGUGAUGUAGGGAGACUGGAUUCCUGUGUAGCGGUGAAUGCGCAGAUAUCAGGAGGACACCGAUGGCGAAGGCAGCUCUCUGGGCAUUAACUGACGCUGAGGAGCGAAAGCAUGGGGAGCGAACAGGAUUAGAUACCCUGCUAGUCCAUGCCCGUAAACGUUGG